This 948-nucleotide long non-coding RNA is filed under the name Vitis vinifera (wine grape). RNAcentral describes it as "long non-coding RNA (VVIN_LNC001392)". The record is from RNAcentral. Lineage: Eukaryota; Viridiplantae; Streptophyta; Magnoliopsida; Vitales; Vitaceae.
CAUGAUGCACGAGAUAGCAUAAGUAGUAGUAGGAAGCAGCUCUUAUUUGUGGCGUCGGUAUACAUCAUACUAGGUAGAUGGUUCAAUUGGCAUGGAUGGGUGGUGGAGCCUUGAAGUGCUUGUGAUGGGGAGCCCACGGCUUCUUCUCAGGAGUUGGUGGCUUCUUGUAUGGAGUUGAUGGAGGUGUUUCUACUGGAGGGUGGCCAGGGUAGUGACCCUGGGGUGGUGAAGGUUCUUUUGUCGGUGGUGGCCUCACUAUUAUUGGCGGUAGAGUUGGUGGCUUGGGCGUUGGCGGUGGUCUCACUACUCUUGGGGGUAGAGUUGGUGUCUUGUGUUUUGGUGGUGGAGGUGGCUUAACAGGAGUUGGUGGCUUGUAUUCUGGGGGUGGUUUCUCCACCGGAGGUGGCUUAUAAACUGGAGUUGGUGGCUUGUAUUCUGGGGGUGGCUUCUCCACUGGUGGUGGCCUGUAAACAGGGGUUGGUGGCUUAUAUUCUGGGGGAGGCUUCUCCACUGGAGGCGACUUAUAAACAGGGGUUGGUGGCUUGUAUUCCGGGGGUGGCUUCUCUACGGGAGGUGGCCUGUAAACAGGGGUUGGUGGCUUCUCCACCGGAGGUGGCUUAUAAACGGGGGUUGGUGGCUUGUAUUCUGGGGGUGGUUUCCCCAGUGGUGGAGACUUGUAAACAGGAAGAGGUGGUUUGUGCUCAUAUGGGGGUGGCUUGUGGUCAUUAGCAAGUGAGGGAGUGGUGAGGACCACCAAUCCAAGGAACAACACGAGUGAGCAAGCAGAAGACAUGUUUGGGCUCUGGUGAUGCACAAGUAGAAGAAAUGGGAACCAUUUAUAAUGCUUCGAGACCUUGGUUAGCACCAAAAUAUGUCAAAAUCUUGAUUACUUCAUUUCAUACAUAGAUUUAAAAUUAUUUCAAUCAACCAUGAUCCUUAAUUUUCUGG